This is a non-coding RNA of Camellia sinensis, 1474 nucleotides long. The record is from RefSeq and is a predicted model, not a curated record. Lineage: Eukaryota; Viridiplantae; Streptophyta; Magnoliopsida; Ericales; Theaceae.
CAUUUUGAGUUUGGCAUAUAAUAAUUUGUACAGGGCAAUUCCUAACUCAAUUGGCUCCCUGAGUCAAAUUCAGACUCUGCACUUUACGCAACAAUAAUCUUUCUGGGGAGUUGCCUUCGUCUUUAAAGAGUUGCACAGAGUUGAGAAUUGUUGAUCUGGGUGUAAAUAGAUUCACAGGAAAACUGCCAGCAUGGAUAGGGACACAUCUAACAAAUUUAAUUGUUGUUAGUCUAAGAUCCAAUGAGUUCAAUGGAAGCAUACCUCAACAUAUAUGUCAUCUUAACCAUAUUAUAAUCUUGGACCUCUCUCAAAAUGAUCUGUCAGGAAACAUACCUCAUUGCUUCAACAAUUUUACUGCUUUGGUUCAAAGUAAUAGUUCCGGUGCAACCAUUAAUUUCAGCUAUACGGCACAUGCUGGUUAUUUUACGGAUGGUGGCGACUAUGUUGAUAAUGCAUUGGUGCAAUGGAAAUGACAAUUAUUUGAGUACAGGAACACUAUAGGACUGCUAAAAAUCAUUGAUCUUUCUAGCAAUGAAUUAACCGGAAGCAUUCCUGAUCAAAUUGCAAGUCUUGCAGGGCUAAUUUCCUUGAAUCUUUCAAGAAACUAUUUGACAGGAAAAAUCAUCCCAGAGAUUGGUCAGAUGAAAAUGUUGGAAUCUCUUGACUUGUCUGCAAAUAAGCCAUCAGGUGAGAUUCCUACCAGCCUUGCGCUCUUAAAUUAUCUGAGCUUGUUAAACUUGUCAAAUAACGACUUGGCUGGCAAAAUCCCAACAGGCACUCAAUUGCAAAGCUUUAAUGCCUCUGUGUUUUUGGGAAAUCCUAAACUUUGUGGGCUUCCGCUUCAAAAUAAGUGCCCAGGAGAAGAAACAAAUGUGAAUAUUGCGCCCGACAAAGACAAAAAGAAUAUUCAAGAAGAGGAUGGGUUCAUUACCUUCGGGUUUUUUGUUAGCAUGGGACUUGGUUUCAUCCUUGGAUUUUGGACAAUUCUUGGCACUAUGCUUUUAAACAGUCCAUCAAGACAUGCCUAUUUCAAGUUCUUGGACCACAUAAAAAAUUGGUUGUGUGACUACUGCAUUGAAUAUGGCUAGGCUACAAAUGAGGCUUUAUAGAUAAUCAGUCAUGUUGUGGAGCUAGCUUUGGCUCUUUGGUCUGAAGUCCAGCUGUAUGGUAACUUCUAUUGUAUAAUCAUGUCUAUUCAAUGUCCAGUUCUGUGAUCAAUUCUUAUGGUUGUACAAAACUAUUGCCGAAAGUGAUAAUCACAAUGUUUAGUUUUAUUUUUGCAAGGAUGUUAAUACAACAGAGGCGCUAGCUGUGAGUUCACAGACAGAAGAUUAAAGACGAGUUGUAGGCACUUGUUGUUCCUUAGGCAAUCUAUGUAUUUUGUAAGGAUUGUAAUAUUAACUUUAUAAAUAUUUGAUGUGUAAUUAUUAUGGAUUCUAUGUUUGCAAGGAUUCCGAUCUUCUUUCGUAAACUA